Molecule: ribosomal RNA, 404 nt
Filed under: uncultured bacterium
Lineage: Bacteria
Description: bacterial SSU rRNA
Rfam family: Bacterial small subunit ribosomal RNA
Source: RNAcentral
UCGGGAAUUUUGCGCAAUGGACGAAAGUCUGACGCAGCAACGCCGCGUGAGGGAUGAAGGCCUUCGGGUUGUAAACCUCUUUUGUCAGGGACGAUGAUGACGGUACCUGACGAAUAAGUCACGGCUAACUACGUGCCAGCAGCCGCGGUAAUACGUAGGUGACAAGCGUUGUCCGGAUUUACUGGGCGUAAAGAGCGCGCAGGCGGUCGUUCAAGUCGAGUGUGAAAGCCCCCGGCUCAACUGGGGAGGGUCAUUCGAUACUGAUCGACUCGAAGGCAGGAGAGGGAAGUGGAAUUCCCGGUGUAGUGGUGAAAUGCGUAGAUAUCGGGAGGAACACCAGUGGCGAAGGCGACUUCCUGGCCUGUUCUUGACGCUGAGGCGCGAAAGCUAGGGGAGCAAACGGG